GAUGAAGAACGAAGUGAAAUGCGAUAAGUAAUGUGAAUUGCAGAAUUCAGUGAAUCAUCGAAUCUUUGAACGCACAUUGCGCCCAUUAGUAUUCUAGUGGGCAUGCCUGUUCGAGCGUCAUUUCAACCCUCAAGCCCCCGGGUUUGGUGUUGGGGAUCGGGCUGUACUCCAGCCCGGCCCCGAAAUCUAGUGGCGGUCUCGCUGCAGCCUCCAUUGCGUAGUAGCUAACACCUCGCAACUGGAACGCGGCGCGGCCAAGCCGUUAAACCCCCAACUUCUGAAUGUUGACCUCGGAUCAGGCAGGAAUACCCGCUGAACUUAAGCAUAUCAAUAAGCGGAGGA
Molecule: unclassified non-coding RNA, 342 nt
Filed under: soil metagenome
Description: partial contains 5.8S ribosomal RNA, internal transcribed spacer 2, and large subunit ribosomal RNA
Rfam family: 5.8S ribosomal RNA (bases 1-120)
Source: RNAcentral